UUAGAUACCCUAUUAUUUUAAUUGUAAUUUUUUAAAUUAAAUGAUUAAUAGUUAAGUUCUUUAAAGUUAAAUAAUUUGGCGGUAUUUUAGUCUUUUCAGAGGAACCUGUCCUAUAAUUGAUAAUCCACGUUUAAAAAUACUUAAAUUAGAAAUUUAUAUAUCGUCGUGAAAAAUAUUUUUUUAGAAUUAAAUAUUUUUAAUUUAAAAUUUUAAAAUAAUUCAGAUCAAGGUAUAGUUUAUAUUUAAGAAGAGAUGGGUUACAAUAAAUUUAUUUUUGGAUAUUGAAUUUAAAAUUUGAUUGAAAAUGGAUUUGAAAGUAAUUAAAUUUAU
RNAcentral lists this ribosomal RNA (330 nucleotides) under Nephus includens. RNAcentral describes it as "partial 12S ribosomal RNA". Lineage: Eukaryota; Metazoa; Arthropoda; Insecta; Coleoptera; Coccinellidae. The record is from RNAcentral.